RNAcentral lists this ribosomal RNA (482 nucleotides) under uncultured bacterium. RNAcentral describes it as "partial 16S ribosomal RNA". It matches the Rfam family "Bacterial small subunit ribosomal RNA", at positions 30 to 505 of the family's 1533-position model. The record is from RNAcentral.
AUUGAACGCCGGCGGCAGGCCUAACACAUGCAAGUCGAGCGGAUGAAGGGAGCUUGCUCCUGGAUUCAGCGGCGGACGGGUGAGUAAUGCCUAGGAAUCUGCCUGGUAGUGGGGGAUAACGUCCGGAAACGGGCGCUAAUACCGCAUACGUCCUGAGGGAGAAAGUGGGGGAUCUUCGGACCUCACGCUAUCAGAUGAGCCUAGGUCGGAUUAGCUAGUUGGUGGGGUAAAGGCCUACCAAGGCGACGAUCCGUAACUGGUCUGAGAGGAUGAUCAGUCACACUGGAACUGAGACACGGUCCAGACUCCUACGGGAGGCAGCAGUGGGGAAUAUUGGACAAUGGGCGAAAGCCUGAUCCAGCCAUGCCGCGUGUGUGAAGAAGGUCUUCGGAUUGUAAAGCACUUUAAGUUGGGAGGAAGGGCAGUAAGUUAAUACCUUGCUGUUUUGACGUUACCAACAGAAUAAGCACCGGCUAACUUCG